GAGUGGCGAACUGGUGAGUAACACGUGGGAAACCUGCCCAGAAGCGGGGGAUAACACCUGGAAACAGAUGCUAAUACCGCAUAACAACUUGGACCGCAUGGUCCGAGUUUGAAAGAUGGCUUCGGCUAUCACUUUUGGAUGGUCCCGCGGCGUAUUAGCUAGAUGGUGGGGUAACGGCUCACCAUGGCAAUGAUACGUAGCCGACCUGAGAGGGUAAUCGGCCACAUUGGGACUGAGACACGGCCCAAACUCCUACGGGAGGCAGCAGUAGGGAAUCUUCCACAAUGGACGAAAGUCUGAUGGAGCAACGCCGCGUGAGUGAAGAAGGGUUUCGGCUCGUAAAACUCUGUUGUUAAAGAAGAACAUAUCUGAGAGUAACUGUUCAGGUAUUGACGGUAUUUAACCAGAAAGCCACGGCUAACUACGUGCCAGCAGCCGCGGUAAUACGUAGGUGGCAAGCGUUGUCCGGAUUUAUUGGGCGUAAAGCGAGCGCAGGCGGUUUUUUAAGUCUGAUGUGAAAGCCUUCGGCUCAACCGAAGAAGUGCAUCGGAAACUGGGAAACUUGAGUGCAGAAGAGGACAGUGGAACUCCAUGUGUAGCGGUGAAAUGCGUAGAUAUAUGGAAGAACACCAGUGGCGAAGGCGGCUGUCUGGUCUGUAACUGACGCUGAGGCUCGAAAGUAUGGGUAGCAAACAGGAUUAGAUACCAUGGUAGUCCAUACCGUAAACGAUGAAUGCUAAGUGUUGGAGGGUUUCCGCCCUUCAGUGCUGCAGCUAACGCAUUAAGCAUUCCGCCUGGGGAGUACGGCCGCAAGGCUGAAACUCAAAGGAAUUGACGGGGGCCCGCACAAGCGGUGGAGCAUGUGGUUUAAUUCGAAGCUACGCGAAGAACCUUACCAGGUCUUGACAUACUAUGCAAAUCUAAGAGAUUAGACGUUCCCUUCGGGGACAUGGAUACAGGUGGUGCAUGGUUGUCGUCAGCUCGUGUCGUGAGAUGUUGGGUUAAGUCCCGCAACGAGCGCAACCCUUAUUAUCAGUUGCCAGCAUUAAGUUGGGCACUCUGGUGAGACUGCCGGUGACAAACCGGAGGAAGGUGGGGAUGACGUCAAAUCAUCAUGCCCCUUAUGACCUGGGCUACACACGUGCUACAAUGGAUGGUACAACGAGUUGCGAACUCGCGAGAGUAAGCUAAUCUCUUAAAGCCAUUCUCAGUUCGGAUUGUAGGCUGCAACUCGCGUACAUGAAGUCGGAAUCGCUAGUAAUCGCGGAUCAGCAUGCCGCGGUGAAUACGUUCCCGGGCCUUGUACACACCGCCCGUCACACCAUGAGAGUUUGUAACACCC
RNAcentral lists this ribosomal RNA (1342 nucleotides) under Limosilactobacillus fermentum. RNAcentral's name for it is "Lactobacillus fermentum 16S ribosomal RNA". It matches the Rfam family "Bacterial small subunit ribosomal RNA", at positions 93 to 1422 of the family's 1533-position model. Lineage: Bacteria; Bacillati; Bacillota; Bacilli; Lactobacillales; Lactobacillaceae. The record is from RNAcentral.